RNAcentral lists this long non-coding RNA (328 nucleotides) under Actinidia chinensis (golden kiwifruit). Its description in RNAcentral is "long non-coding RNA (ACHI_LNC004094)". The record is from RNAcentral. Lineage: Eukaryota; Viridiplantae; Streptophyta; Magnoliopsida; Ericales; Actinidiaceae.
UUGUCAAAGUGUAGAUAUUAGAUUAGGAGAAUUUGUCAACUUUCCUUAAAUUAAGGGAUUUGAUAUUAGAUUAGCAGCAUUAGUUGAAAUUUCUUAGUCAACUUUCCCUUAGUCAACUUUGGACUUCUGAUUUUUCUUGAUUUACUUUUGCUUUCUUUUCUUUUGUAAUCUUCUAUAUAUUACCGUGUAUCAUAAAAUAUAAGAUAAGAGAGAAAGAAAUACAGAAGUUUUCCAUCCCUUAUUUGUGACAUGGUAUCAGAGCUCUAGGAAUUUUUUCUGAGAUUUCUUCUUUGUCUUCUUGCAGCCGUCAUUGCUGCUAUCCAAUUUU